CCCGCACAAGCGGAGGAGCAUGUGGUUUAAUUCGAUGAUACGCGAGGAACCUUACCAAGGCUUAAAUGUAAGACGACAGUCCCGGAAACGGGAUUUUCCUUCGGGACGUCAUACAAGGUGCUGCAUGGUUGUCGUCAGCUCGUGCCGUGAGGUGUCGGGUUAAGUCCCAUAACGAGCGCAACCCCUAUUCUUAGUUGCCAUCAGGUAAUGCUGGGGACUCUAAGAAAACUGCCUACGCAAGUAGUGAGGAAGGUGGGGAUGACGUCAAAUCAGCACGGCCCUUAUGCCUUGGGCUACACACGUGCUACAAUGGUCGGUACAGAGGGCAGCUACCUGGUGACAGGAUGCUAAUCUCGAAAACCGUUCUCAGUUCGGAUCGAAGUCUGCAACUCGACUUCGUGAAGUUGGAUUCGCUAGUAAUCGCGUAUCAGCAAUGACGCGGUGAAUACGUUCCCGGGCCUUGUACACACCGCCCGUCAAGCCAUGGAAGCUGGGAGUGCCUGAAGUCCGUAACCGUAAGGAGCGGCCUAGGGUAAAACUAGUGACUGGGGCUAAGUCGUAACAAGGUA
This 569-nucleotide ribosomal RNA is filed under the name uncultured Bacteroidota bacterium. RNAcentral's name for it is "bacterial SSU rRNA". It matches the Rfam family "Bacterial small subunit ribosomal RNA", at positions 920 to 1498 of the family's 1533-position model. The record is from RNAcentral. Lineage: Bacteria; Pseudomonadati; Bacteroidota.